This 325-nucleotide long non-coding RNA is filed under the name Phoenix dactylifera (date palm). RNAcentral describes it as "long non-coding RNA (PDAC_LNC002328)". The record is from RNAcentral. Lineage: Eukaryota; Viridiplantae; Streptophyta; Magnoliopsida; Arecales; Arecaceae.
AUCCAUUAGAGAGAAAGAAGAAAUCACCACGAGUUGAUACCAAUUAUUUUGAUAUCUAUUUUCAUCACAAUCUAGGGUUUCUGCCGUGACCGAACUUAAAGGGGAAGAAGGUCAAAAGAAAGAUCAAAUUAGAUCAAAAACCAGUUGGGGAAAUAUUGGAGCAUAAGACAUGAAGAGGAUUUCGAACUUACGGAGAUGUUUUCUCCAGCGCAAGCGUAAACUCGCAGAGGAUCGUCCCAACGCAAGGAAAAAGAGAGAGAGAGAGAGCAGGGCGUGGUUCGGUGCGUGUCUGGCUAGCUCCUGCUCCCAGAAUUGUUUGGGGCCC